AGUUUUCCUCCUUGCCAUUGCGCAGUCUAGCAACGCUGAUAUCGAGGCCGUUGAGUUUGAGCGUUUGAGCUCUGCGGCGUGCGUCUCUCUCUGCUUGUCGUGCAGAGACUUGUUAACGGUCUGUUGGACCACUGAAUAAUAUUUUCUUCCAACAAUAACGUUUUUCAGCAUGCUGAGGUGUAAUGAAUGCGACGACUGCAAGUCAUAUAGCUGCAUGUCCUACCACUAUCUACUCAAGAAUAGUCUGACUUUAAUGGCACGCACUGCAGAUGACGAAGGUGAUAAUUUCCCCUGAAAGGCCAGCGUAGCUUGGCAUGACAUUCAAGUGACAAACUUUGAAGGUGGUGUGAAGGAGGUCCGCUGCGCUGUAAGUUUCAGAUUGACCAGUGGUGUGCACAGCACAGUGGAAAAGACGAUGAAAAAGCGCUGCUCCACCUCCACAAAGGAAGAAAGUACUAUGCAAAUUGCAAGGAAGAGAAGGGCAACGGUUGAACAAAAGGAUUAUUACACAGCAGAAGUAAUUUAUGUCUUUGCUCAUCUGGUGAGGGAGAU
Molecule: long non-coding RNA, 552 nt
Organism: Ornithodoros turicata
Lineage: Eukaryota; Metazoa; Arthropoda; Arachnida; Ixodida; Argasidae
Exons: 4
Source: RefSeq, a predicted model, not a curated record